This is a long non-coding RNA of Harpia harpyja (harpy eagle), 2083 nucleotides long. RefSeq lists it as uncharacterized. The transcript has 2 exons. Lineage: Eukaryota; Metazoa; Chordata; Aves; Accipitriformes; Accipitridae. The record is from RefSeq and is a predicted model, not a curated record.
GGCGGGGCGCCCGGCUGCGGUCCCCCGCCGAGCCCGCGGGAGGAGACGGCCGGGGGCGCCCGGCGCGACCGGAGGGAUGGCGACUGCCGGCUUCGCAGCAGGCGGGGCGGUUUCCAGGGGAGCCGGGGCGGGGGGCGCGCUGUCCUGUCAGGCUGAGGGGAGCGGCGGAGCCCGGGCGGCGGCGGCACCGGCACCGGCCCGGCGGCGGGGCCCCAGCGGCCGCUGAGGCGCAGGGCCCGGGCCGUGGCCGGCCCGAAGCCUGUCAGGAGCUGGCGAGCCGCUGGACGGGACGGGCCUGGCCCGGCGUAACCCGCCGGGGCGGUGGAGCCGCCGCCGCCGCCGCCUCCUCCCUUCGGGAGGCUUGAGCCGGCGGACGAGGGUGCGCUUCGGUAAGGAGUUCAAGGGCAGCGACGAAGCGGCUGCCCCGGGUCGCGGUGGGGUGAAAGGCGGCACCGCUUACAGCCGAAAAGGGUGCUCUGCCCCGGUACCCGGGGGACUGGAGCCUGCCGGCUCUGCCGGCCCGGGUGGGCUCUCUGCGGUCCCUGACAUGACAGCUUAGGCGAACAGAUCCUCCAGGGACAGGAUCUCCACCAUUUUCCGUGGAAAACUAUUUCACAGCCUGAUCCAAUAACAGCAUUUUAGAGGGAAGAAGAAUAGUAUGUAUUGCAGUACAUUGGACGCCUAAAUGCGUUUCAGACUAUUCACAAACUAUAAUCCAAUCCCUUCUCGCUGAUGUGCGGCAAGAAUCACUUCUCUCAUCGCAAAUUGUUGCCCUUUAUUGAACUUAUUACAGUGCCUGCACAUAAGCCCCGAAACCAAAAACUUUGUAAAAGAAAUGUAGCCAAGUACUACAAGCACGGAGCUGUAGGUGACAAAGUCUCAACCUUUUAAUUUUCACACUGACUUGUUUGGCACCGCUGGGCAAGUUAUUUCAGUGCUUUCUGCUUCUUUAACAAAAAAGAAUAGUAUAAUAAAAUUACCCAUCACGUGGCUCAGGCUGUUAGGCUCAAGCAAGCUUUAUCAAAGUAUUUUUAUUGUUUAAAGAUGGAAAGUGCAGGAAUGUUUUAGUAAAGAACAAUAAAUGUAAAAACUAUUAUUCCCCUUUACCUGCGUACUCCCACAUAUUUCUUUUCAAGAUUAAAGCCUGAAAAAGUAUGGUAGAGCAUGUACUUGAAAAUAUAAAAUAUGCAACAAUGACAUUAGAAUAUAUAAUAAGAAAAUGGGCUAUUUAGAUUUCCAAGCAAAAAUUUCCUUACUGUGAACAGCGACAGAUUUUUGGUUUUAUGAGAUACUCGAAAAUAUGGUGUGUUUCAAAGUAGGAACUAUGGUCUUUUUCUCAUCUGACAUUCUCUAUUUGGAGCUUUUAAUCUGUAUUAGCAACAGUACUUCCUCUCCUGUUCAAGAAUCUGCAGGGUCUUUCAAAAGUAUAGUUGUUUUGCUCCAUGAGAUGUAGUUUUGUAAUGUUUCAUAUCCUUUGUUUUUUCAUUCGUUUAAAGGUUGUGAAAGGAUGUAGCCACUUCAUACACUUGUAGGCUAAAGGAGUAUUUUAAUUAAAAACCUAUGAUGUUUUUUGAAAAUGGUAUUUGGAAAUCACUUCCUUUUAUCCUUCGAAAGUAGGAAUAGAAGGAAACUGCAAGAGACUGUCCCUUACCAAACACAUUGUGGGAAUGAGCCAGGAGAUAUGUUUGUUAAGAGUUAGCAUCACAAUUAUAUGAUGACAAAUAAUGUACUUUUCCAUUUCUGUCCUGUACUACUGAUAGGCCAUGUAACUCAGAUACGGUGUCCAAAUUCUGUUGGUCUGAAAAUGAAAAAUAGUAUGUUGAUCUUCUUCAAGCUUUUGUAUGCAUCAUAUCAUCCCCAUUUUGGGAAAACCAACAGAUCGAUCUGUGGCCCAAAAAAGGGCCCAGACUGCAGCAGUUAUAGUGAAUGUCAUAACUCAGGAUUGCAAUGCAUUGGCAGGACUGUUUGGGGAAGCUUGCAUAACAUCUGUUUGCAACAUGCCUGAUUCAAACCAGCACUCCUCCUCUCAUGAACACUGAUGACUUUUAAAAAGUAAAAUAAACUUGGUCGUUAUGCAAGCAAA